RNAcentral lists this ribosomal RNA (468 nucleotides) under uncultured bacterium. Its description in RNAcentral is "partial 16S ribosomal RNA". It matches the Rfam family "Bacterial small subunit ribosomal RNA", at positions 28 to 507 of the family's 1533-position model. The record is from RNAcentral.
GACGAACGCUGGCGGCGUGCUUAACACAUGCAAGUCGAACGGAAAGGCCCUGCUUUUGUGGGGUGCUCGAGUGGCGAACGGGUGAGUAACACGUGAGUAACCUGCCCUUGACUUUGGGAUAACUUCAGGAAACUGGGGCUAAUACCGGCUAGGAGCUCCUGCUGCAUGGUGGGGGUUGGAAAGUUUCGGCGGUUGGGGAUGGACUCGCGGCUUAUCAGCUUGUUGGUGGGGUAGUGGCUUACCAAGGGUUUGACGGGUAGCCGGCCUGAGAGGGUGACCGGCCACAUUGGGACUGAGAUACGGCCCAGACUCCUACGGGAGGCAGCAGUGGGGAAUAUUGCACAAUGGGCGGAAGCCUGAUGCAGCAACGCCGCGUGCGGGAUGACGGCCUUCGGGUUGUAAACCGCUUUCGCCUGUGACGAAGCGUGAGUGACGGUAAUGGGUAAAGAAGCACCGGCUAACUACGUG